UAAAAUAGAUGAAGAAGGGAGAUACUGUGAUCACAGAGGUGGUUUUCCCGGUUCGAGGCUGAUCUGUUGCUCUCUGGAUAUGCUGACCCUGUGAUUUCCUCAUAAUUUGUAGUAGUCGAGGACUCUACCUGUGUUCCCCCUCUU
This 144-nucleotide small nuclear RNA is filed under the name Saimiri boliviensis boliviensis (Bolivian squirrel monkey). RNAcentral describes it as "U1 spliceosomal RNA (ENSSBOG00000019423.1)". Lineage: Eukaryota; Metazoa; Chordata; Mammalia; Primates; Cebidae. The record is from RNAcentral.